UUAAUACCUACGCGUACAGCCACCUUAUUUUAGGGCUUCAUUCAUUUUCCACAUGACCCAGUUGUUGCCUUCUCUGUUUAGACGUGUAGUACAUAUAAGUCUUUACUCUUUUAAUGGCCAGCCUAUAAUCUAUACAUGUAAGUUGCAUGUAGCCUUCUAUUUAGCUUCCCAGACUCCCACGUUCCUAUUUCAUUUAUCAGUACAUAGUUUUGACCACCACCUUGCUUGAAAGCCCACCUUAUUUCCAGGAGAGCUUAUCACCUAUUCAAAUACUUAGCUCCAUGCAUGCAUAUAAAUAUUACUUCACACGUCUGUACCCACCAUAAUUUCAGCUGCACUUAUUUC
RNAcentral lists this long non-coding RNA (345 nucleotides) under Daucus carota (carrot). Its description in RNAcentral is "long non-coding RNA (DCAR_LNC004113)". The record is from RNAcentral. Lineage: Eukaryota; Viridiplantae; Streptophyta; Magnoliopsida; Apiales; Apiaceae.